RNAcentral lists this ribosomal RNA (253 nucleotides) under uncultured bacterium. Its description in RNAcentral is "partial 16S ribosomal RNA". It matches the Rfam family "Bacterial small subunit ribosomal RNA", at positions 526 to 779 of the family's 1533-position model. The record is from RNAcentral.
CGUAGGGUGCAAGCGUUGUCCGGAAUUAUUGGGCGUAAAGAGCUCGUAGGCGGUUUGUCGCGUCUGCUGUGAAAUCCGGAGGCUCAACCUCCGGCCUGCAGUGGGUACGGGCAGACUAGAGUGCGGUAGGGGAGAUUGGAAUUCCUGGUGUAGCGGUGGAAUGCGCAGAUAUCAGGAGGAACACCGAUGGCGAAGGCAGAUCUCUGGGCCGUAACUGACGCUGAGGAGCGAAAGCAUGGGAGCGAACAGGAUU